AAAGAUUUAGUCUUAUCUUAACGUGCAAAAAACUGGUUCGAGAAUAGUCUCUCAUACUAACGAAGAGUAUAAUGAGACGAAGAUGGAUGAUGUUUUUAUCGGAAAUGAUAUUCUCCGGCAAAAUUCAGAGUUGGUGGAUCAAAUCUGUCAAAGCAUGAGGAGAGUGUCAGUCUUACUUUCACAAGUUUUUUGGCGAAUGUCACAGAUGAAUAGGCAUAAACCUCGACUUAAAACUAGAUGCACUUUGUUGCUUUUUUUGCUUGAAUUUUUGGUACUUUCGCUUUUUAUAUAAAUUCAAAUCGGAUUGUACUUUCUUGUAUAUUGAUUAGUGUAUACG
Molecule: long non-coding RNA, 337 nt
Filed under: Carica papaya (papaya)
Lineage: Eukaryota; Viridiplantae; Streptophyta; Magnoliopsida; Brassicales; Caricaceae
Description: long non-coding RNA (CPAP_LNC016580)
Source: RNAcentral